Molecule: ribosomal RNA, 439 nt
Filed under: uncultured bacterium
Lineage: Bacteria
Description: partial 16S ribosomal RNA
Rfam family: Bacterial small subunit ribosomal RNA
Source: RNAcentral
CUACGGGGUGCAGCAGUGAGGAAUAUUGCACAAUGGAGGAAACUCUGAUGCAGCAACGCCGCGUGGAGGAUGACACAUUUCGGUGUGUAAACUCCUUUUAUAUGUCAAGAAAAUGACGGUAGCAUAUGAAUAAGCACCGGCUAACUCCGUGCCAGCAGCCGCGGUAAUACGGAGGGUGCAAGCGUUACUCGGAAUCACUGGGCGUAAAGGACGCGUAGGCGGGAUAUCAAGUCAGGUGUGAAAUCCUACAGCUUAACUGUAGAACUGCACUUGAAACUGGUAACCUAGAGUAUGGGAGGGGGAGAUGGAAUUAGUGGUGUAGGGGUAAAAUCCGUAGAUAUCACUAGGAAUACCUAAAGCGAAGGCGAUCUCCUGGAACAUAACUGACGCUAAGGCGUGAAAGCGUGGGGAGCAAACAGGAUUAGAUACCCCUAUAGUC